This 388-nucleotide ribosomal RNA is filed under the name uncultured bacterium. RNAcentral describes it as "bacterial SSU rRNA". It matches the Rfam family "Bacterial small subunit ribosomal RNA", at positions 28 to 416 of the family's 1533-position model. The record is from RNAcentral.
AUUGAACGCUGGCGGCAUGCUUUACACAUGCAAGUCGAACGGCAGCACGGGUGCUUGCACCUGGUGGCGAGUGGCGAACGGGUGAGUAAUGCAUCGGAACGUGCCCAUGAGUGGGGGAUAGCCCGGCGGAAGCCGGAUUAAUACCGCAUACGCCCUUAGGGGGAAAGCGGGGGAUCUUCGGACCUCGCGCUAUUGGAGCGGCCGAUGUCGGAUUAGCUAGUAGGUGAGGUAAAGGCUCACCUAGGCGACGAUCCGUAGCUGGUCUGAGAGGAUGAUCAGCCACACUGGGACUGAGACACGGCCCAGACUCCUACGGGAGGCAGCAGUGGGGAAUUUUGGACAAUGGGCGCAAGCCUGAUCCAGCCAUGCCGCGUGAGUGAAGAAGGCC